This is a long non-coding RNA of Chinchilla lanigera (long-tailed chinchilla), 1436 nucleotides long. RefSeq lists it as uncharacterized. Lineage: Eukaryota; Metazoa; Chordata; Mammalia; Rodentia; Chinchillidae. The record is from RefSeq and is a predicted model, not a curated record. The transcript is spliced from 3 exons.
UCCACACCCCUCCCCUUCUGCAGAUCAGGGAGCUGAGGGUAAACUGGCAAGGGUAAGCUCCCGGCGGCCCUUGCCCCAUCCCCAGGACCCUGCCUGGGCCCUCGCACUCAGACCCUCCAGCUUCCUUGUCUCUACGGAUGAAGAUUGUAAAGGACAUACGGAGUUUUUUUCUGGCUGGCCCCACGCCUGCUGCUCCCACACGGUGGCUGGGGGAUGUUGUCAGAGGCCCCAGGGAGUGAUGAUGGCCUAGCUUCCAGAAAGACAGUUGAAAACCCAGCUCCAAGGUCCAGUCCUGGGCACUCCGGACACCAAGACAAAGACAAUGCCCCUGCCCUUGAGGACCCAAUGGUCAAGUGAGGGAGACAGAGGUGUGAAAUAGCAGCUUUGCAGAUAGGUUUUGAACAGGGAAGAGAAGGUUGGAGCACAGAUCCUGAGAAUGAAGGGACAAAGGGAACAGAGACGCUGGGGACAAUAAGAAAACCUCUCCCACGACACCCCUUGGCCAAAGACAGGCCCUCGAGAUCAGCAGUGGAAGUCUGCGGCGCUUGUGUGGGAGACAACCCUUGCAGCCUCAGAACCAACAAUGAACAAAGGCUGCCGUCUCUCUGGGAAUACAGGAGAUCUGACAACAGCCCCGCGCAUUUCAUCAGUGUAGACAUCCCUCCUGGGCUUUGAAGCCUGAAGUGCCCUCCUUUAGCUGUCUAACCAGAUCAAAUAAGCUGGAUGGCUGCCAUAUCUCGACUUCACUUUGCGCUAAUCCAUAGUCACAGCCAGCUUCGUAACAAUCCUACCAAACCAUCUGAGCAAGAGCAAAAAUAAUUCUCCUGGGCAAAGAUGGAAAGCUCCAAGAUGGGAAUGUUAACUCCUUGCUGCCUCUUCAAAAGGGAGUGGAUCUUGAAGUCAGUUGUAGGAAACCUUCCAGAAGAGAGACUUCAUCCCUCUCCAAAGUGGUGACAAUGGUGUUCUCUCUCUUACAGUUCAAAAACUCUUCCUAUUCCAGGGAACCAUGUAAAUGAACACCCAUAAGAGUUAACAAUAGAAUAGGGGCGGGUCUGCCUCUCAGAAAGCAACCCCACCCUAAAGAAAAAGCAUUAUUCUACCUCUGUUUAUUCACAGGAUCAUUCUAGGGGAAACCUUACCCUAUCCCCCACUGUCUCCAAACAGCAGUGAGGACUUCAGGAAAUCCUUGUCACAAAGACUGGCAGAACCAGACAUCUAACAACAAACCCAGAAGCCAAGUGGCAUGGCUAAAAAAGAUUAAAAAUCGACAUGAGUUCUAACAUCUAUGGUUCCUAGCUGUGGUUGCCAUGGAAAUAGACAUCUGCUCUAGGGAGAAGGGAAAAAAAAGUGGUGAUGGUGGGGACUGGUUUAAGUGCUUUAAAAUAAUCAGUAUUUUAAAAGAUUAAUUUUUUUAUGUCACAACAUUAACAAAUGAA